This is a non-coding RNA of Sus scrofa (pig), 340 nucleotides long. NCBI's taxonomy places the organism in Eukaryota, Metazoa, Chordata, Mammalia, Artiodactyla, Suidae. The record is from the annotation of a RefSeq genome assembly.
GACGGAGAGGAUGGACAAAUCCCUGCAUUUGUUCAUCCUUUGCUUACAACUAGACUGGGUGAGCAGUAAACAGCAUGUGAAUCAGAGCCACGAAGCCCUGAGCGUCCGAGAGGGAGACGGCUUGGUUCUCAACUGCAGUUACACCGAUAGCGCUAUUUACUUCCUUCAGUGGUUUAGGCAGUAUCCUGGGAAAGGGCUUACUUCUCUGCUGUUAAUUCAAGCGAACCAGGGAGAACAAAUAAGUGGAAGAAUUAAAGCCUCAUUGGAUAAAUCGUCAAGAAACAGUGUUUUCUACAUUGCAGCAUCUCAGCCCAGCGACUCUGCCACCUACUUCUGUGCU